CAGAGACUGCAAGCGUUAUUCGGAUUCACUGGGCGUAAAGGGUGCGCAGGCGGCCAAGUGUGUUAGGCGUGAAAGCCCGGGGCUUAACCCCGGAAUGGCACCUAAAACUACAUGGCUAGAGCAUUGGAGAGGGUAGCGGAAUUCACGGUGUAGCAGUGAAAUGCGUAGAUAUCGUGAGGAACACCAGAGGCGAAGGCGGCUACCUGGACAAUUGCUGACGCUCAGGCACGAAAGCGUGGGGAGCAAAAGGGAUUAGAUACCCCUGUAGUCCACGCCCUAAACGGUGCACACUAGGUCUUGGCGGAUUCGACCCCACCAGGGCCCAAGCUAACGCGUUAAGUGUGCCGCCUGAGGACUACGGCCGCAAGGCUA
This 372-nucleotide ribosomal RNA is filed under the name uncultured organism. RNAcentral's name for it is "bacterial SSU rRNA". It matches the Rfam family "Bacterial small subunit ribosomal RNA", at positions 526 to 896 of the family's 1533-position model. The record is from RNAcentral.